RNAcentral lists this transfer RNA (72 nucleotides) under Ovis aries (sheep). It matches the Rfam family "tRNA". Rfam says of the family: Transfer RNA (tRNA) molecules are approximately 80 nucleotides in length. Their secondary structure includes four short double-helical elements and three loops (D, anti-codon, and T loops). The record is from Rfam by way of RNAcentral. Lineage: Eukaryota; Metazoa; Chordata; Mammalia; Artiodactyla; Bovidae.
UUCCUGCUGGCUCAGAUGGUAAAGAAUCUGCCUGCAAUGCAUGAGACCCAGGUUCUAUUCCUGGGUCGGGAA